UACGUAGGGUGCAAGCGUUGUCCGGAAUUAUUGGGCGUAAAGAGCUCGUAGGCGGUCUGUCGCGUCGGCUGUGAAAACUCGGGGCUCACCCCCGAGCCUGCAGUCGAUACGGGCAGACUAGAGUGCUGUAGGGGAGACUGGAAUUCCUGGUGUAGCGGUGGAAUGCGCAGAUAUCAGGAGGAACACCGAUGGCGAAGGCAGAUCUCUGGGCCGUAACUGACGCUGAGGAGCGAAAGCGUGGGGAGCGAACAGG
This 253-nucleotide ribosomal RNA is filed under the name uncultured bacterium. RNAcentral describes it as "partial 16S ribosomal RNA". It matches the Rfam family "Bacterial small subunit ribosomal RNA", at positions 524 to 776 of the family's 1533-position model. The record is from RNAcentral.